This is a long non-coding RNA of Gopherus agassizii (Agassiz's desert tortoise), 1903 nucleotides long. The record is from Ensembl. NCBI's taxonomy places the organism in Eukaryota, Metazoa, Chordata, Testudines, Testudinidae.
GUGACACAGAAUAUCAGUGCUGUCUCCAACACGCUUUGUGGAACAUGCCUGUAGUUGUGUACUAACUGGUGUAUGUGCUUAGCACUGCCCCUGCUGGAUGGAAUGUUAGACUGUGGGUUCUUCUGAAAGCCCACAGGAUAAAAACCAUAUUACUAGCAGCUAUUGGAGAUUCUCCUUAGAGAAGGCAUAGAGGCCUGUGAAUUUUGGGACUCUGGGUCCUGGUUUGUAUCUCUCUUUGUCCAACCAGGUGAAAACAGACACAGAAAUCCAAGUGUCAGAGCUCCUCUUUCUUGCUGCACUAAUGUAGUGGUUCUCAGUCUGACUCUGGUCCCUGAUAGACCACCUGAGAAAGCAGGAAAUGUGCUUGGGAGGUGGUAAAGACUUGGUAUUGGGAGAGCAAUGAGGAGGCUGAAAGAGAAGGUGUGGAAUGGGAGACCAGAUCCAGGACCCAGUAUGACUGGGCAUGUUGACCCUGAAGAUAGUGUUGGUCACCACUGUUUGCUUUUCAAAGCUGAGUUCAACAAACACACUUCACUAACUGUAAAAGCCUGAAUUCAUGCAUCUGUGUGGAUGAAGGAUGGGAUAAACAGCCAUAAGGAGAGAGAGGCGUCUGCUGAGAAAGUGGGGGUCAAAGAUAGAGAAGUUCAGCAGGAGAGCGAUUCUGGAUAAAGACUAAAUUGAGAGAGUUGCUGUGUCAGUGGGUAGGAGUUGCCUUGCUGCGGGAGACCUUAAGAGAUGCUAGAGGAGACAAGCUGUUUUUGAUUGGGGUGCCUCCUCAAAACAGAGUCAUCAAUGUUAAGGAGGGUGGGGGAUGAUAGUGUCCCUGCUCCGUACUGUGUAUUAAGCACAUUGUAAAUAGUUUGUAAAACACUUUGAGACCUUUGGAUUAAAGACAGUCUAUAAAUAUGUCUUCAUCUUGGACUGUUACAGAGUAAACUGGUUAACCGGGAAAGGUCACCAGGCUGCAUGUCUUCAGUUGUAAUCUAUAUACUGAUUCCAUCUCAUCAAGAAUACAGAGUGUGCAGGAACUGGCUGAUAUAAAUCCACAUGCUCUGGGGAGUUGCAGAAACUGUGUUUCAGAGUUGCCACAACAGGUCCCAGAGUUGUUACCCAUAGGUGAGCGUCAGAGCUUCUACCAGGACUGCAGUUAGAUAUAUUCUAGCUAACACUCAAUGAUCUUUCCCCAAAAUGUCUAAGUCUAUUAGAAACAUCUCAGAGUAUCCUGGACCCCACUGGCCUUCCCUUUCUUAUUCUGAAACUUCCUGAAAUGCAGAGUGGGGAUGGAAGCAGGCAGAGGAUGAAUCUGCUUGUGGGAUGGAGAUCUAGCAUCCUCUGUCAUCCUUGACCUUUAAGCAGUUCCACUCCAGAGACAGCCAGCCAGAACACUGGUGCUUAGCAGCCUAAGCCCUCAGCCAGGCCUGCAGGAGCUGACAUAAUGUGCUUCACCUUUUCACUGUGUCUGUUCAGGGCCUCAGGAGGAUGAGUCAACACAAACUGGCUCUGACCUUCCUGUGACUCAGUUCCAUAUCUGCCUGUAUUUAGGGACAUUAAAAAUGAGUCUUUAUGGCAUUAGCCUGGAAUUUGGAAAGGUGAAUAGGGGAGGCUGAAGUCUCUCUUAUCUCCCCAACUUCAUUCCUGGGGGGAUUUCAAGAAAAGCUCAUCUCCAAACAGACUCAUCUGGUUCUGAGUGUGGUGUUACCAACUGCAUUCAUGAUCUAACCUGUCAUAGCUGACUUCAAGAUCUGUGACUUGAUCCCUGGUAUAUAAAUUACUUUUCAUCUUCAAGAGUCUUUACAGAAAGUACCUAAUUACUCCUCAGGCCAUCCUUGUUUAGGAGGUAUAGGGUUGGAUUGGAUUUGUAUUAGGAAGAGCUGUGUGAAUAAACUGCAAUGAACAAUUUACA